UGAAAACUGCUUUCGUUUUCAUUGGCGCCCGCAGACGUGUGCAACAUUUUCUUUACUUGAAAGUAAUUCGGUUAAAACUUAAUUUUACGAUUGCGUGUUAAAUGCGGUUGGCUAUACUGGAUUAAAGCAUUAAAUAAAGUACCUGGCUGAUUGGCAUUUCAAUUUAAUUCGAGGAUCAAGGUCUGCUAUCUAUCACGAUGAGCUCUGAGGCCCAGUUUGUGGAUUCGAACUUUGCAGCGCUUAUUCAGAGGGUCACCUCAGUGAUGGCAAUAGCAGAUGAACUAAAAAACAAGGGUAUGCUACAUCCUGAAACAUAUUCAGAGAUCCAAGCAGAACAAACCAACCAGGGCAAAAUGAGAAGGCUGUUUAAUGCACUAAAUUCUGGAGGAGACAGAGUGAAAAGUGACUUUUAUUAUGCUCUGAGAAAUCAUGAACUAUACCUCUUCAGAGACCUGGGUGGUGAGACACUGGAUAACAUUGAUGGCACCAAGAACAAAGAGCUACAGUUAAACUGAACACCCCCUGCAACCAAGAAACUGAAGCCUCCUGCAACCAAGACACGGAAAUAUAUAUAAAGAUGCGACCUGGAAAACUGAAAACCCAUGUGAUACAUUUUCCCCUGUGAAACACAAAAGAAGGAAUUAAUCAGAAUGUGUAGGAUGUAUUCUACAUCAUACAGGUUUUCAUUUUGUAGGUGAACAUUUUCAAGCCAUAAGCAUUUUUAUGCAGUUUUUUAUGCUAAAAUCUAAAUAUUUUACACAUUAUCAUCCACAGUUAUUUAACCAAGUCUUCAUAUUAUAAAACAUUUUGAAAAAGAGACAAAUACUUUUAUUGCCGUGCUUGUAAAAUAGCACUGUCACUGUCUGAUAUUCUGCAAAAAAUUUAUUUCUUUUCAAACUAUAGCCAACAUUUUCUACACCUACUUUUUAAUACAUUUAAGAUAAAAAUCUAAAUCAGUGAAAACCAUCCAUUGACUUACAUCAGUGAUUUCAUACUUGAAUGCUGAAUUAUCAUAUACUUGAUUUUAUGUAAUUUAGGGAUGCCUUCAUAUAUAAAUAGUAUACUGUCUUUUACUGAAUUUAUAGGCCUACUGUUAAUUUCCUUUCACAGUAAAUUGAAAUAAUCUUUGCACUGUAAUGCAUCUGUUUUUAUAUUUCACUAUAAGGAUUUCCUUCUCAUUGAUAAAUUGGUGGUUUUACACUGUUCUUUAAUUUUGUAAUUGGCAUUAAAUUUUCUUACCUGAAAUAUACAUUGAUUUUAAUAUUCUUGAUACUGAUAUAUCAAAAGAUUGCAAGGUACCUGAUGUGACUAUUCUUCAAAUCUAUGAGGUAAGGCUCUGAAAACAAGUAGUUAAAUAAAG
Carassius carassius (crucian carp) is the source of this 1360-nucleotide RNA transcript. It is a transcript of the gene named apoptosis-associated speck-like protein containing a CARD, with no coding region annotated. The transcript has 4 exons. NCBI's taxonomy places the organism in Eukaryota, Metazoa, Chordata, Actinopteri, Cypriniformes, Cyprinidae. The record is from RefSeq and is a predicted model, not a curated record.